GUGCCUAAUACAUGCAAGUCGAACGCGUUGGCCCAACUGAUUGAACGUGCUUGCACGGACUUGACGUUGGUUUACCAGCGAGUGGCGGACGGGUBAGUAACACGUAGGUAACCUGCCCCAAAGCGGGGGAUAACAUUUGGAAACAGAUGCUAAUACCGCAUAACAAUUUGAAUCGCAUGAUUCAAAUUUAAAAGAUGGCUUCGGCUAUCACUUUGGGAUGGACCUGCGGCGCAUUAGCUUGUUGGUAGGGUAACGGCCUACCAAGGCUGUGAUGCGUAGCCGAGUUGAGAGACUGAUCGGCCACAAUGGAACUGAGACACGGUCCAUACUCCUACGGGAGGCAGCAGUAGGGAAUCUUCCACAAUGGGCGCAAGCCUGAUGGAGCAACACCGCGUGAGUGAAGAAGGGUUUCGGCUCGUAAAGCUCUGUUGUUAGAGAAGAACGUGCGUGAGAGCAACUGUUCACGCAGUGACGGUAUCUAACCAGAAAGUCACGGCUAACUACGUGCCAGCAGCCGCGGUAAUACGUAGGUGGCAAGCGUUAUCCGGAUUUAUUGGGCGUAAAGCGAGCGCAGGCGGUUUGAUAAGUCUGAUGUGAAAGCCUUUGGCUUAACCAAAGAAGUGCAUCGGAAACUGUCAGACUUGAGUGCAGAAGAGGACAGUGGAAC
This 667-nucleotide ribosomal RNA is filed under the name Limosilactobacillus mucosae. RNAcentral describes it as "bacterial SSU rRNA". It matches the Rfam family "Bacterial small subunit ribosomal RNA", at positions 44 to 667 of the family's 1533-position model. The record is from RNAcentral. Lineage: Bacteria; Bacillati; Bacillota; Bacilli; Lactobacillales; Lactobacillaceae.